RNAcentral lists this ribosomal RNA (81 nucleotides) under Aphanophora eugeniae. Its description in RNAcentral is "partial 28S ribosomal RNA". It matches the Rfam family "Eukaryotic large subunit ribosomal RNA", at positions 1 to 79 of the family's 3401-position model. Lineage: Eukaryota; Fungi; Ascomycota; Eurotiomycetes; Chaetothyriales; Chaetothyriaceae. The record is from RNAcentral.
GUUGACCUCGGAUCAGGUAGGAAUACCCGCUGAACUUAAGCAUAUCAAUAAGCGGAGGAAAAGAAACCAACAGGGAUUGCC